CGCGGUGUGUUCGCGGACGUCGCUUCGAGUUUAGUCAUGUUACGUUAAUUGAUCACGUGCUAUGGAAGACGAGUGGAAUUGAUCUCCAAGUGAUGCUGAUGGACGAAGCUAAAAUGGAUGAAUCAACCAAGUGCCAGGAUAGAAGAUGCUCACCAAGUGGUCAUCAAUUAACAACACUAACUUAGUGUUAUCCCAGGCAAGCCCCGGUGCAUUUGCCACCUCCUUGCUGUUUUAAAAACUUUUAUCACUUAUCUGCUGCAUUAGGUGAUAGGAGUUGAGUGAAUAAACAAUUGAUGCAUUAUCAUUCCUUUGAAUUUGAUUCUCCUCCUUGCUACUUGUUUUA
Molecule: long non-coding RNA, 343 nt
Organism: Zea mays
Lineage: Eukaryota; Viridiplantae; Streptophyta; Magnoliopsida; Poales; Poaceae
Exons: 2
Source: RefSeq, a predicted model, not a curated record